Molecule: ribosomal RNA, 253 nt
Filed under: uncultured bacterium
Lineage: Bacteria
Description: partial 16S ribosomal RNA
Rfam family: Bacterial small subunit ribosomal RNA
Source: RNAcentral
UACGGGGGGGGCAAGCGUUGUUCGGAAUUACUGGGCGUAAAGGGCUCGUAGGCGGCCAACUAAGUCAGACGUGAAAUCCCUCGGCUUAACCGGGGAACUGCGUCUGAUACUGGAUGGCUUGAGAUUGGGAGAGGGAUGCGGAAUUCCAGGUGUAGCGGUGAAAUGCGUAGAUAUCUGGAUGAACACCGGUGGCGAAGGCGGCAUCCUGGACCAACACUGACGCUGAGGAGCGAAAGCCAGGGGAGCAAACGGG